Molecule: ribosomal RNA, 484 nt
Filed under: uncultured bacterium
Lineage: Bacteria
Description: partial 16S ribosomal RNA
Rfam family: Bacterial small subunit ribosomal RNA
Source: RNAcentral
AUUGAACGCUGGCGGCAUGCCUUACACAUGCAAGUCGAACGGCAGCACGGACUUCGGUCUGGUGGCGAGUGGCGAACGGGUGAGUAAUGUAUCGGAACGUACCUUUCAGUGGGGGAUAACGUAGCGAAAGUUACGCUAAUACCGCAUAUUCUGUGAGCAGGAAAGCAGGGGAUCGAAAGACCUUGCGCUUAUUGAGCGGCCGAUAUCAGAUUAGCUAGUUGGUGGGGUAAAGGCCUACCAAGGCGACGAUCUGUAGCGGGUCUGAGAGGAUGAUCCGCCACACUGGAACUGAGACACGGUCCAGACUCCUACGGGAGGCAGCAGUGGGGAAUUUUGGACAAUGGGGGCAACCCUGAUCCAGCCAUGCCGCGUGAGUGAAGAAGGCCUUCGGGUUGUAAAGCUCUUUCGGCCGGGAAGAAAUCGCAUAGGCUAAUACCCUGUGUGGAUGACGGUACCGGAAUAAGAAGCACCGGCUAACUACGUG